Molecule: transfer RNA, 75 nt
Filed under: bacterium HR40
Lineage: Bacteria
Description: tRNA-Thr
Rfam family: tRNA
About the family: Transfer RNA (tRNA) molecules are approximately 80 nucleotides in length. Their secondary structure includes four short double-helical elements and three loops (D, anti-codon, and T loops).
Source: RNAcentral
GCCGCAGUAGCUCAGCCGGUAGAGCAGCGCAUUCGUAAUGCGCGGGUCGGGGGUUCGAAUCCCUCCUGCGGCACC